Molecule: non-coding RNA, 716 nt
Organism: Pelobates cultripes (western spadefoot toad)
Lineage: Eukaryota; Metazoa; Chordata; Amphibia; Anura; Pelobatidae
Source: the annotation of a GenBank genome assembly
CAUUUAGCCUCCGGUAGUCGACACAAAAACGUGUCGUGCCAUCUUUCUUAGGUACCAGCACUACCGGCGAUGCCCAGGGGCUAUCGGAAUGUUCAAUAACCCCUAGCUGCAACAUUUCCUCAAUCUCUUUCCUCAUAUGUUCCCUGAUUGCUUCAGGGAUACGAUUUGGGUUCUGCCGCAUAGGUAGCUGUCCAGGGGUCUCGACUCUGUUAGUGGCUAGCGGAGUGUACCCAGGCAAAUUGGAGAAGGUGGCUCCUUUAGCCGUGAUCAACUCUUGUACCUGGGCCCGCCCCAGUUGAACCCCCGUGGAGGGCUCUGUCUGGUCGUCCUGUUCUAAUAGGUCAGGUAGUGGCAGGUUCUCCUGAUCAUCAGAGGCGGAGGCGCAUAUUGCUGCCACGUCCUCUAUCCUCUCAUGAUAGGGUUUGAGCAUAUUCACGUGGAGCAAUUUAUCUCUUCCCUACCCCUGAGCAGGGGCCAAUCACAUAGGUGGUGUCACAUCUCUGUUCCACCACCUGGUAUGGGCCUUGCCAGAUGGCCUGCAGCUUGUCUGUGCGGACAGGUUUUAAAAUCAAAACCUUCUGUCCCACUUGAAAGCUGCGGUCUCUGGCUCCCCUAUCGUACCAGCGGCGCAGGCGUUGUUGGGCCGCCUGGAGGUUGGUGCGCACGGCCUGGGUUAGUGCCUCCAGCACGUAAGGUGCAAUGGGGGUCCCAUCUGU